This is a long non-coding RNA of Oncorhynchus tshawytscha (Chinook salmon), 2818 nucleotides long. The record is from Ensembl. Lineage: Eukaryota; Metazoa; Chordata; Actinopteri; Salmoniformes; Salmonidae.
AUUUCUCUAUUCAAUCUCUCGUCUCUUCUAUCUCAAUCUCUCUAUUCUAUCUCUCGUCUCUUCUAUCUCAAUCUCUCUAUUCAAUCUCUCGUCUCUUCUAUCUCAAUCUCUCUAUUCAAUCUCUCGUCUCUUCUAUCUCUCAUCUCUUCUAUCUCAAUUUCUCUAUUCAAUCUCUUGUCUCUUCUAUCUCAAUCUCUAUUCUAUCUCUCGUCUCUUCUAUCUCAAUCUCUCUAUUCUAUCUCUCGUCUCUUCUAUCUCAAUCUCUCUAUUCUAUCUCAAUCUCUCUAUUCUAUCUCUCGUCUCUUCUAUCUCAAUUUCUCUAUUCAAUCUCUUGUCUCUUCUAUCUCAAUCUCUAUUCUAUCUCUCGUCUCUUCUAUCUCUCGUCUCUUCUAUCUCAAUCUCUCUAUUCAAUCUCUCGUCUCUUCUAUCUCAAUCUCUAUUCUAUCUCUCGUCUCUUCUAUCUCAAUUUCUCUAUUCAAUCUCUUGUCUCUUCUAUCUCAAUCUCUAUUCUAUCUCUCGUCUCUUCUAUCUCUCGUCUCUUCUAUCUCAAUCUCUCUAUUCAAUCUCUCGUCUCCUAUCUCUCGUCUCUUCUAUCUCAAUCUCUCUAUUCUAUCUCUCGUCUCUUCUAUCUCAAUCUCUCUCUUCUAUCAGUCCUAUUUUUGGUAUUUGGUAUUUUAUUAGGAUCCCUUUAGCUGUUUCAGAAGCAGCAGCUACUCUUCCUGGUAUCCACACAAAACAUGAAACAUGACAUAAUACAGAACAUUAAUAGACAAGAAUAGAAUGCGUUUCCACUGCUCAAGAUUCCAAUGGCGGCAAGCUCUACACCACUCCAACCGAUACUUGGCAUUGCGCAUGGUGAUCUUAGGCUUGUGUGAGGCUGCUCUGCCAUCGCAAACCCAUUUCAUGAAGCUCCCGACGAACAGUUAUUGUGCUGACGUUGCUUCCAGAGCAAGUUUGGAACUCGGUAGUGAGUGUUGCAUCCAAGCACAGAGGAUUUUUACAUGCUACGCACUUCAGCAUUUGACAUUGUUGCUCCUAGACAUUUCCACUUCACAAUGACAGCAGUUACAGUUGACCGGGGCAGCUCUGGCAGGGCUGAAAUUCGAUGAACUGACUUGUUGCAAAGGUGUCAUCCUAUGACAGUGCCACGUUGAAAGUCACUGAGCUCUUCAGUACGGGCCAUUCUACUGCCAAUGUUUGUCUAUGGAGAUGUUAUGGAUGUGUGCUCAAUUUGUUUUUACACCUGUCAGCAACGUGUGUGACAGGGUGUCCACAUGUCCUGUAUCUUAUAAUAUAUAUCUUAUAAUACCUCUCUGACCAUCUCUGGAUAGUGCCAAUAUAAUACUGAGAUAUUCACAGCAACUUGAUGCCAGAGCAAUGAAGAGGAGCAAUACAAGUGAACAUUUUAAACUGUAAGAAAUGUAUUUAAACAGCAUUUUACUGUAAUUACAAGGGAUUAGAGUGAGAAUGUUGGCUGUAGGGAUUUGCAUAUUAAUGAUAACUCGGUGUUUUGUAUGAAUUGCACUUCUAGAAGCCUGACAAAAGGUUUCCCCACUGGCUAUGAUGACAAAGCAAAACAUACCAACUGUACAUGGGUAAGUGUUCUACCAUUAAGAUGUUCAAGACCCGCUUCAACUCUGACCUUUUCCUUUCAUACAGUUAAUUAUUUAGGAAAUACUACCACAUAUCAGUUAAAGUGGUACAGCACUCUCACUAACAGGUGCUACAAAUAGAGCUUCUUACAAUCACGCCUUAAAAUAUGUUCAUGUCCCAGUGAUUUGUUCUACUCCCACAAUCCACUGAGUACAAAACAGCAGGAACAGCUGCUCUUUCCAUGGUAUAGACUGACCAGGUGAAUCCAGGUGAAAUCUAUGAUCCCUUAUUGAAGACACUUGUUAAAUCCACAUCAAGCAGAGUAGCUGAAGGGGAGGAGACAGGUUAAAGAAGGAUUUUUAAGCCUUGAGACAAUUGAGACAUGAUUUAAGUGCCUUUGAACAAGGUAUGUUUGUAGGUUCCAGGCACACCUGUUUGAAUGUGUCAACAACUGCAAUGCUGCUGGGUGUUUCAUGCUCAUCCGUUUCUCGUGUGUAUCAAGAAUGGUCCACCACCCAAAAGGCAACCAGACAACUUGACACAACUGUGGGAAGCAUUGGAGUCAACACGGGCCAGCAGUCCUGUGGAGCGCUUUAAACGCCUUGGAGAGUCUAUGCCCCAAUUAAUUGAGGCUGUUCUGAGGGCAAACGGGAGUGCAAAUCAUUAUAAGGAAGGUUUUUCUAAUGUUUGUACACUCAGUGUAUUGCUCCACGAUGCACCAUCAUUUACAGAAUGCUGUAGUAAAUGUAACAGCGUAGCAAUACAGUUCUUUAUUCUUAAAUUGUAUCAAAUAAAAUCAGUAAUUGCAAAAAGUGAAUAUUUAAUUAUAUAUUACACUAUGCCAACUGAUAUAUGGUGUUUUCUAUCAUUUUCACUUUAAGCCUUAACAAAGGAUUCUAAAAUGUCAAUACUACCGGGCAGAGCAGAUCAAAAGGACAUGGCUAGCCGCUCAACUGUUAAAGACACCAUGGCUCUCCUGAGGUCCGUUACAGUAGCGGUAGCUUCUCUCCUCCAUUGACAUCCUCUCUUCUCCUCUUCCACCACCACCACUUCCUCUCUCCACUCAUCUACCCAUCCACCCUCAGUACCACCCCUCCCCCAUCCAUCCACCCCUACAACCUCAGCACCACCCCUCGCCCCAUCCAUCCACCCCUACAACCUCAGCACCACCCCUACAACCUCAGAACCACCCCUCCCCCAUCCAUCCACCCCUACAACCUCAGCA